GUUAAAUAAUUUAUAAUAAAAUAUUUACCUUGAAAGUAAAAAAUAGAUCUAACCUUUUAACUUG
RNAcentral lists this transfer RNA (64 nucleotides) under Melanastera paucipunctata. Its description in RNAcentral is "Diclidophlebia paucipunctata tRNA-Ser". The record is from RNAcentral. Lineage: Eukaryota; Metazoa; Arthropoda; Insecta; Hemiptera; Liviidae.